CCAAUAGCGUAUAUUAAAGUUGCUGCAGUUAAAAAGCUCGUAGUUGAAUUUCGGGACUAAUAUGUCGGUCGUGCCUCGGUACGUACUGGUAUUUUUGGUUUCUCCCUUCUGACGAACCUUGAUGUCAUUAAUUUGGUGUCUUGGGAAAUCAGGACUGUUACUUUGAAAAAAUUAGAGUGUUUAAAGCAGGCUCACGCUUGAAUACAUUAGCAUGGAAUAAUGAAAUAGGACGUUUGAUUCUAUUUUGUUGGUUUCUAGGAUUGACGUAAUGAUUAAUAGGGAUAGUUGGGGGCAUUAGUAUUCAAUUGUCAGAGGUGAAAUUCUUGGAUUUAUUGAAGACUAACUACUGCGAAAGCAUUUGCCAAGGAUGUUUUCAUUAAUCAAGAACGAAAGUUAGGGGAUCGAAGACGAUCAGAUACCGUCGUAGUCUUAACCAUAAACUAUGCCGACUAGGGAUCGGAUGAUGUUAAUUUUAUAAUGACUCAUUCGGCGCCUUACA
Molecule: unclassified non-coding RNA, 499 nt
Filed under: uncultured Glomus
Lineage: Eukaryota; Fungi; Glomeromycota; Glomeromycetes; Glomerales; Glomeraceae
Description: SSU rRNA
Rfam family: Eukaryotic small subunit ribosomal RNA
Source: RNAcentral